Molecule: ribosomal RNA, 468 nt
Filed under: uncultured bacterium
Lineage: Bacteria
Description: partial 16S ribosomal RNA
Rfam family: Bacterial small subunit ribosomal RNA
Source: RNAcentral
GACGAACGCUGGCGGCGUGCUUAACACAUGCAAGUCGAACGGAAAGGCCCUGCUUUUGUGGGGUGCUCGAGUGGCGAACGGGUGAGUAACACUUGAGUAACCUGCCCUUGACUUUGGGAUAACUUCAGGAAACUUGGGCUAAUACCGGAUAGGAGCUCCUGCUGCAUGGUGGGGGUUGGAAAGUUUCGGCGGUUGGGGAUGGACUCGCGGCUUAUCAGCUUGUUGGUGGGGUAGUGGCUUACCAAGGCUUUGACGGGUAGCCGGCCUGAGAGGGUGACCGGCCAAAUUGGGACUGGGAUAAGGCACAGACUCGUACGGGAGGCAGCAGUGGGGAAUAUUACACAAUGGGAGGAAGCCUGAUGCAGCAACGCCGCGUGCGGGAUGACGGCCUUCGGGUUGUAAACCGCUUUCGCCUGUGACGAGGCGUGAGUGACGGUAAUGGGUAAAGAAGCACCGGCUAACUACGUG